Molecule: unclassified non-coding RNA, 2632 nt
Filed under: Pomacea canaliculata
Lineage: Eukaryota; Metazoa; Mollusca; Gastropoda; Architaenioglossa; Ampullariidae
Description: uncharacterized LOC112576163, transcript variant X2
Source: RNAcentral
CACAAAAAAAAUUCAGCUUCUGUGGCUGUGCACAGGUCCCAGAGAUUGUCUUGUGUCCUGAUUGUGGACCUGUAAGACUAUUGCAAAUCAUGUGAUGAAAAGAUCUACUGUUUGGUGAUGUAUCAUCAGACAUACAGUUGGAAAGAAGACGCAUCAUUGUGUCUACCUGUGAAAAGAGAAGCAACCAUUUUGUCUGAGCACCAGUGUGACAAGCUCUACUACCGUCAGAUUGGAGUUUUUGAUGCACAAGGCAGAGAUCACAUCAUGAAAGUACAGUUCUGUGAAUGUGAGCCAGAAGCAGUAACACUAAUAAGAAAUGGCUUAUGGCCAGCAACACCAAAGAAGCCAGGGACCGCAUUUUGCAUGAAAGUGAUGGAGCUAUGCAGAAUGCUACAGUUAGAAGGACAAAUGUCUCUCCAGAAAUUUUGCAUGGCAUUGGAGCGGAGGACAACUUUUCAAAAUAGUCGCAGCAGGGACUACAGAAACAUGUACAAGGCACUGGGUAAACAUGCUAUCAUAUUUUGUCACAGCAUGACUACAGCAACAUGUACAAGAUACUUGCUAAACAUAUCGUCAUAUGUUGUCCAAUAAGUCUAACUUUCAAGAAACUCCUCAGGGUAUAUUGCUUAAUGACUCCAUAGAGAACUGUAUCAGUGCCACUAGACCUGUAGUCAAGUAGUGCGACAGUUUCAUUUGAUGGAUGUAAAUAUAGUUUAAUUAUAAGGAUUAUAAGCCAAUAAUUUCAGUUUACAUUAUUUGGAAACUAUGGAAAGAAUACGUGGAUUGUGAAAAUGGUAUUUUAUGUGUUUGUUUAAUUGUUUAUCGUAGGUAACACAAUUAUAGAAUUUCACCAUCAUCAGGUGUUAUGUCUUGAGACAGCUCAUGCCCAUGACUUCCUGGGCAAGAAGUGCCCAAUAUGUAGUCUGGUAUGUUGUAUGGGUUAAGGAUUAGGCAUUUUAAGAAAUAUUUAAACACAGUUGCUGUAUUCUGCAAACAAAAACACCCACAAAAGUUUAUUACACUUGAUUUGUACAUAAUAUUUUCACAUGGUUGCAAUUUAAGUUUUUGAAAAUAUGCCUAAUCUGUGCACAUCAGUUUCCCGACUUUUUGAUAUAAAGAGAAUUUAUCAACAUUGUCUAAUGCCUACUGAUAAUUUUAGGCCAUGUCUUUCAAAAACAUAUCUUCUAUUUCAUGAGGAAUUAAUAGAUGUGAUUAGUGAUCUUCACUCAGAUAUCGAUUCGAAAUCUGGUGAAGACGAUGAAGAGGAAGAACACUUUUUUCCAUAAGUUGUUGAGCUAUUAAUUUCUUUAGUCAGUUUACUGAAGGGGACAAUUGAUAUGUUUAUUGAAAUUGUAAAGGUAUUUAAGGGAUGAUAGCAUGUUUAUUUUGUUUUAAAGCAUUGCUACAACCAACAUCAACAAAGGCUUUAUGAAUUCAUUGCUACAUUUUUGAACCAAGAACGGUGUAACCUUCUAAUUCUGUUUUUAGCAAUGUACUUUUUUUUUUUAUAGUAUACAUACAAGACACAUUCACACCGUGCAUCCAGUUUCUUUCACCCACAGAAACAAGCCUUUUAAUAUAUUUUAUAUGCCACUCUGGAGCAAGGCAUGAGCUUAUUCUUAAGUAUAUUGCUGUGGCACAAUAUAUGUCUAGAGACUAUCAUUUGAGAAAAGAAUUGUACAUAACAGUAUACUGCCUUCUCGUAGCUCAUUCUCCUAAAAGUUUGAAGUGAUGGUAGUAAAUAAAACAGGGAAACAAACACAGUUUUUGCUUUGAGGAAAAUUAAGUGAAAAGAAUUUUUACUCGUAUAUCAUGUUAUUUACUUACAACAUAUUCUUACUAAGGAUGUUAUAUAAACAGGUAUGCUUUGUUAUAAAUCUUGAGAAAUCUAUUUUUGUGCUCUGCAAUGGUGGUUACCUGUCAAAGAGGGAGAAAUGGCACAUGGAAAAGGACAUAGUCAAAUGUAUAAAUAUGUACAAAUAUCUAGAUUUGAUUGAUUUCAACAAGACUAUCUGUUUGUUGUGCUAUUGUGGAUGUUUCAUGGAGUGCCCAAAAAAAGUGUCAUUGGGAUAACCAUAUGUUUUUGGCACAUGGUGUGCAUUCACCACUAUUUUCAUGUUUUUUCACAUUUCUUGCAUUUUGUGAUCAUUUAAAGUGACAUUGCUACUAUCCUGUCAUGUCCCUUUUGUCCAGGUGUUAUUAAGUCGGUAAUACAUGCUAUGUUCUUAUGAAAAAGAUACAGGGUAGUGAGAAAGAAAUGUAAACAGUAUUACCAUCUGCUUUCCAGUUAUCCAUGCUGGUAGAAAAUACUGACAAGUUUGUAGUUAAUAAUGUAACUAAUAACUGAAUAUUUGACUCUAUACAGUUCGUCUAGAACUCUAGAUUAUGAUGUAUGUUUUUGCAUUGUAUUGUAUUGUGUAUUGUUUGGAUUCGGCUUGAAAUAUGCGGAAGGCCUUUUCCAUAAAUAAAAUCAAUAAAUUGUUUCUUUCCCGUAUUUUGCAUCUAGCAGGGAGACUUCUGUGGUCAGACAAACACUAUCACUGUAAAUCCACCGCUUGACCAAGCACGAAUAGCUAUUUUACUGUACUUCAUUAAAGUGUAUGUUCAAUAAAUUGAAAAGGGCUUGAAAAAC